RNAcentral lists this ribosomal RNA (523 nucleotides) under uncultured eukaryote. Its description in RNAcentral is "bacterial SSU rRNA". It matches the Rfam family "Eukaryotic small subunit ribosomal RNA", at positions 631 to 1109 of the family's 1831-position model. The record is from RNAcentral.
GAGUUGUUAUCUGAACCUUCUCGCCAUAAAAAGUGGGGGGGCUAAGGUAGCAGUAGUUUUCAUCAUAGUCCACCAGGAUACUCUCUUGGUGUGUACUGGGUGUUAACCUCCUUUUUUCUGGUACUUGCUAUCCAGCAAUGGGUAGUUUUGUCCAGAUAGUUUACUUUGAAAAAAUUAGAGUGUUCAAAGCAGGCAUAAUUGGCAUCAUGAAUACAUUAGCAUGGGAUAAUAGAAUAUGACAUUGGUCUUAUUUUGUUGGUUUCUAAGGCCAAAGUAAUGAUUGAUAGGGAUAGUUGGGGCCGCUCGUAUUGAGUUGUCAGAGGUGAAAUUCUAGGAUUUACUCAAGACGAACUAAUGCGAAAAGCAUUCGGCAAGGAUGUUUUCAUUAAUCAAGAACGAAAGUUGGGGGAUCGAAGAUGAUCAGAUACCGUCGUAGUCUCAACCAUAAACUAUGUCAACCGAGGAUCCGGUAGCGUUACAUGGAUGACCUUCCGGGCACUCUGUGAGAAAUCAUAAGUAUUGG